RNAcentral lists this transfer RNA (73 nucleotides) under Stegodyphus mimosarum. It matches the Rfam family "tRNA". From Rfam's summary of the family: Transfer RNA (tRNA) molecules are approximately 80 nucleotides in length. The record is from Rfam by way of RNAcentral. Lineage: Eukaryota; Metazoa; Arthropoda; Arachnida; Araneae; Eresidae.
GUCUUCGUGGUGUAAUGGUCAGCACGCUCGGCGCGUAUUCGAGAGGUCCGAGGUUCGAGUCCCGGUGAGAGCA